This 11151-nucleotide long non-coding RNA is filed under the name Capsicum annuum. Its description in RNAcentral is "long non-coding RNA (CANN_LNC003944)". Lineage: Eukaryota; Viridiplantae; Streptophyta; Magnoliopsida; Solanales; Solanaceae. The record is from RNAcentral.
UCCAAAAAAAAAUAUAAAGUGCAGUCCAAUUAUACAAUCCAAAAAUAGAAAAAUGCGUAAAAAUAAAUCCUAUUCUAAACUAAUCCUAGACUAAUGCUCUACCCGACGCCUCGGGCCUUCAUCACGAACCUCCUCCUAGUACAAAAUACUUUAGGGCAUUUUUCGAUGAAUAAACACAAAUAUCUCGGGGCAUUCCCCAUCCAAAUGAUACUUUGAUCCAAAAAAAACUAUAAAAAUAAGCCAUUCAACACACAUUUUUCAACAUUCAACAUUUGAUGAGUUCUAAAUUUGCCUACCCGACCCUACUAUUUGCCUAUCUAUUUGAUGUCCUAAUCAUGAUACUACCGCAUUCGAGAAGGUUAAUAAACAUUUCAAAUCAACUCAAUCGAUGAAACAAAAUUAAUUCGAGUUCACUUAAUCAAGAUCAAUCCCUCCUUAAUUUAUUAUCGAUUACACAAUUACUCGAUUCUCAAUCAUAUAAUUAUUCACCUCAAAUAAUAAAUCGAUAUCAACAAACACUUAUGAUGAUUCAAACAGAUCAUUAUCAAACAAAACAAGGCUUACACCCAUCACCAAUUUCACACAUAAGGCAUCAAACGAUAAAGAUUAAUCAAGAACGAGAUAAGAAAUGGACCUCAAUUUUAUUCCGAACAAUUAGCGAUGGAUUGGAGCACACGAAUCAAUGAACCUCGACCAAAAUUUAACCUCGACGUCGAAACCCAAUUCAUAAAUCUCGACUCCGAAUUCUUUUUACCCAGACCCAUUUUCUCUCUGUAUUUUUAUGUAGGUCGUGAGAAGAGGAGCUGGACGAACUGCCAUGUGCUUGUUGGUUCACCAGCGAUUCGAGCUGAUUGGAGUGGUGUUUAACGUGAUUUAACUGGCGUAUUUUGCUGGUAGUGAUGGAUUUUUAGGGUUCCGUGAGGUUUUGGUCAUCGAAUUUCCUGCCAGUGGAGUUCUUUGAUAACUAUUAUUGCAUUGCCAGAGCUCCGACGAGCUUAACGGUGGUGACUAAUUUCCCCUUUCUCUAAUCUAUUCUCUCUGUCACGUUCUUUUUGCCUCUCCUCUCUUUGUUGUCAUCUUCUCCUUCUCUAAUCUAUUCUCUCUUUCGCGUCUCUACGUGUUAAUGUCACUGGUGAGUGUUAUCUGAGAGAUCUGUGUAUGCUUUAUGUGUGAAUAUGGUGAUGUGUGCUCUAUAUAUGAAUAUGGUGAUGAAAAGCCUAUGUGUUGGUAUAUCUUGUGAAGGGGAAUAUUGAUGAUGAUGAUGAGGAAUUGUUCCCUUUCUUUCUGUGUGUAUUUUCUAUGGUGGGAAUAUAAUGAUAAUAAUGAUGUGGGUCCCCUCAUGUGAAUGUUGUCUUGUAUAUUAAUGGAAAUGGUGAGGUCCUUUGUUUGUCUUUUUUGUUAAUUUGUUUACAAAGUGGAAUAAAAUAUGAAGGGUAGGGUAGUGAGGUGGUAUGGGGUAGUGAUGUGUUGUGAUGAAGUUUUAGGAUAAGGAAAUAUUAGGGAUUUAUUAAAAUUUUAUUAUUUUUGUAUUUUUGUGGGGCAUAAUCACACGGGUGGGGUGUAAGGUACCGUGAGGUUAAAAAAAUGGAUGAAUUAGGUUAUCGGGAGGGACAAAAUUACGUGUCUACAUCAUGCCUCUCUUUGCAUGUAAAUACAAAGUAUUUUCAUACAAAGAAGUAGACAAUGAGACAGAAUUUGACCCGACCAUUAUUCAAAGAAAGAAACAAAAGGAAGAAGGACAACCGAGUUGGAGAGUCGAGUGAGGUCCCGUCGAGGUUCCAGUCCGUGGCUCUAUCACUACAUCAAAAAUGAAAAUUAUAAGUUAAAACUUAAAAGAAAUUACAGAAAUCCUAUCUAUGCAGUUUCUUUGACUCUUGACUUGCUAUUUUAUCAUCCUGUUCUUCAGGCGGGCUCCUGACUUGCAAUUUCUUCAAUUUGUUGCUUGGUUUUCAAUUUCUUCCUCAUGUUGCUUGACUUUUCAGUUAUUCACCCUGUUCUUCAGGCAGACUCUUAACUUACAAUUUCAUCACCCUAUUCUUCAGGCAGGCUCCUGGCUUGCCGUUUCAUCACCCCGUUCUUCAGGCGGGCUCCUGACUAGCUAUUUCCAUAUGUUGUCUUUCAAUUUCUUCACUUUGUUUCUUGACUUUCAUUUUAUUCACCACGUUCAUCAGGAGGGCUCCUGAAAUCACAUCAAAACUAAAAAGAAAAUUAUCCCAAACAAAGAUUAUUAUAAAGAGAUUUCACUUGCCAGAAAAGUGAAGUUCCAAACACAAGAAUUAAAUUUUGCCCUAGUUUAUCAUCAAAGGACUUUUGUGAAAGUCGCAUCAUUAUAGUUAUCAAAGAUAAUGACUAGACUAAAAGGUACGCCUUAUAGAAAUCAAGGAGAAUGACUCGACUAAAAGGCACGCUUUAUAGGAAUCAAGGGAGAUGACUCGACUAAAGGGUACGUCUUAUAGGAAUCAAGGGGGAUGACUCAAAUAAAAGGCACGUCUUAUAGGAAUCAAGGGAGAUGACUCGAAUAAAGGGUACGUCUUAUAGGAAUCAAGGGGGAUGACUCGACUAAAAGGUACUUCUUAUAGGAAUCAAGGGGAAUGACUCGACUAAAAGGUACGUCUUAUAGGAAUCAAGGGGAAUGACUCAAUUAAAAGGUAUGUCUUAUAGGAAUCAAGGGGGAUGACUCGACUAAAAGGUACAUUUUAUAGGAAUCAAGGGGAAUGACUCGACUAAAAGGUACAUCUUAUAGGAAUCAAGGGAGAUGAUUCGACUAAAAAGUACGUAUUCGAGGGUUCAAGGGGAAUGACUCAACUAAAAGGUACAUCUUCUAAGGGUCGAGGGGAGAUGACUCGACUAAAAGGUACGUCUUCUAGGGGUCAAGGGGAGAUGACUCGACUAAAAGGUACAUCUUAUAGGAAUCAAGGGGAUGACUCGACUAAAAGGUACGUCUUAUAGGGGUCAAGAGGAAUGACUCGACUAAAAGGUACGUCUUCUAGGAAUCAAGGGGGAUGACUUGACUAAAAGGUACAUCUUCUAGGAAUCAAAGGGAAUGACUCGACUAAAAGGUACGUCUUAUAGGAAUCAAGGGGGAUGACUCGACUAAAAGGUACGUCUUCUAAGAGUCAAAGGAAAUGACUGGACUAGAAGGUACGUCUUCUAGGAGUGAAGGUUCAAUUUAAGAAGUGUAUCACCCAGCAAAUUAAAACUAAAAUCCCUGGACAAGAAAGUGUGUUUCCGAGGGAUAUAAGAUGAUGAAUUUUUACCAUGAUUUAAUUAUCAAACCUGUGCAGCAACAUUGCUUCCUACAUUUGUCAAAGCAAGAAAUUAGGGGCCUUGAUGUUUUGGCUUUGAAAUCCUUGAUUUGAAGGUGACAUGUGUUCCUGUUUUAUGCAAAGAAAAGUUGUGAGUUUAAAAACAUGAAGGCAGGUUUGUGGCUUUGGCUUUCAUGGCAAACGCUCUUGCCGUCAUCACAUUUAACCUUGCUUCCAACCAUUACAUAUAUCAUUGAUUUGAUGCAUCAUUGACCCAAACUCAGAUUAUUAAGAGUGACUUUGAAACAAACGCAGUAUCUUUGCUUUUCCAUGCUCUUCAGAUAAACCCUUUGAACUUUGGUAUUUCCAUGAGUGCCCAGACUUUUCUGUUGACAGAACUUUCUGUAUGCCUUAUUUCGGCUCACAAUCAUGUCUUUUGUAUAUGCUAGUUCUUUUGUCUUGCUUUGUGCAAUUAAAGAAGCUGGUAGCCAUUUUUGAAAUCUUUUCUCACUUGUUUUGACAUGGACUUGACUCAAAGACAAGAAACUAAAAAAAAGAAUGACAAUUUUUGUUUGGAUAACUGACUCAAUGACAAUUUUUAUUUGGAUAACUGACUCAAGAAAGAUAAAAUAAAAAUAAAAAGAAGAAAGAAAAGACAACGAAUGUCCCCUUUUGAAAUAAAGAAACAAAAAAUUCAUCUAAAAAUGACAGUCAACACUAAUGAUUAUGCCAUGCAUUUCGGAUUAAGCAGCUUGAUCUUUUCAUCCAAACUUUCUACCCAUUGUUGUUGAGCUAAUGGCCUUGAAACUGAGUUUCUUCCUUAGGUAAAUUGUAUUUAAGACCCCAUUCAGCUAGUGGCGCCUUGAAGGGUUUUUGCCAACAAGCUUCUCUCAUUUUCUUUUCCUCAGUUCACCAUUGCCUUAUGGUGUCUGUAAGGGUUUUCCACUAAUGAGACUCUCUUAUCUUCAUUUCCCUUAACUCACAGUUGUCUUACGGUGCCCGUGGGAGUUUUCACCGAUAAAACUCUCUCAUUUUUAUCUCUCUCAACUUAUCAUUAUCUUACGAUACCCGUGAGAGUUUUUACCAAUAAGACUCUCUCAUUUUUAUUUCUCUCCUGAUUUCUUAUGCUGAGGAAGACAAGUAGUUCCCAAAUACAUCACCAUAUCCCUUGCAUGCUUAGCCUUAACAUCUUCAAAGAUUGAUUUGAGGUCUUUCUUUGGUUGUAACUUGGCUUUUGGAUAGGGUUAGAAAGAAAGGAUGGCAUGGGGCCCAAAUAACACUUAAAGUAGGGUAGGACUUACAACUUUUGGAAUCAACUCAAACAAUGAGGAUUAACUAAUGCCCCAGUUUUUUUUUACUGCACAAUUCUAAAUUAUUUAUUUGGUUGGACCAAGCCCGGAGUAGGGCAGCCUAUGUAUCUCACCCCCGAAAGAGGAGAAUCAGGUCACACGUAGUUUCGGUGGCUUGUUCUUUUGCUUGAUUCUGAUUUUUUUUCUUUUAUUGCCUCUUUUAUUGACUUUUUUUUUCUUUUUGGGACCUUCUAACUCUAUUUUUUUAUGGACGCUCUUUUCUUUUCCUUCUUUUGGACACAUUUUUUCUCUCGUUUCUUUUUGAAACUUUCUGACUCUAUUGUUUUGCUCGAUAGUUUUUUUUUUUUUUGAGGUUUGUUGAAUCUAUCUUGAUUCUAAAAGAGGGGCAUGAAGGAAAAUAGGACUAAAUCUCAAAUGGGGUAAACAAAGGAUGACACAAUGUUUGGAUAGCAGAAUGAAAUGCCUUCGUCAUAUCAAUCCUUGAAAAUGCAAGUACAUAUUAUGCAAUAUAAAAGUGAGAGAUGAAGAUCAUUUGUGAUAUUUUUACAACGCUAAUUUUAACUGAGACUGUGCGUCGCUACUUGUUCUGCAAACUCCAUCUUUGUUGUACAUUUCUCAUGCUUUCGUGGAGCUAAUUUUUCUAUUCCUUUUUAUGUGGGAUCACCAUCCACUAUUUGACCUAAUUGAGACAUGUCUUUCAAUGCUGACCAAGUUAUUCUCACGAUUCUCAAAAUAAUUGCCUUAAUUUUUAAAGAAGGCUUCAACUUGAUCACCAAAUGCCCCAACACUUAUCUAUUUUCUCAGACGCUUUCUUUUUCUAACUUUAACCCUCUGAUUCAAUGCUCAUGCUUAAAGUGGAUUUUAAGAUCUGAUAGAAAAUUUCACUAGCAUGUCAUAUCACUAGAGUCAACAUAAAAUGUACAAUGUAAAGAAAACAAACAAACAACACAUAUUUAAAACACAAAGGAAAAUAGGACACUUCAUUUAGUUGAAACAAAAGAUAGAAGAGUUUGAACAUAAACGACAAAAGGACAAAAUAAGAUAGAUCUCGAACUACAACCCUGAAAUAAUUCGGAUAACAAAAAAUAAAACAAAACAAACUAUCAGACCUCUUCGUAGUAGGGAGAGGGAUGACUUCUCAAUUGCUUAACCUGACAUCUUAGCCACUGGUUUGCAUGUCAGCAUGACUAGAUUUUCCCUCACUAUCAAUGUUCUGCACCAUUAUUGAUCCAUCUUGAAUCAUAUUUUCAAUUUCUCUUUUCAAAUCUCGACAAUCUUCAAUACUAUGAGCCUGAGCAUCAGAAUAAUACGCACAUCGUACAUUAGGAUCAAAAUUUCUGGAACGCCGAUUAAGAGUACACCUAAGGAGAAGAGUGAUCAUAUCCCAUUGUACCAAUCUCUGAAAUAAACUGGCAUACGACUCUCCAAUUGGUGUGAAGCUAUCUUUUGACUUUUUCCUUAUUUCAUCAUUUGGAUUGGAUCAAAAAUCAGGCUUAGAAGAGUUUUGGUAUAUUUGUGGAGUUAGAGGAAGACUCUGAGGAGUUGGUGUAUUCCACUGUGGGUAACAUGGGGGUUAAACAUGUGGUUGUGCGUUAUAAACUGGAUACGGGGGUGGAGAAACAAAGUAUAAUAAAUUUUGGGAGUGAUUAUGUGGAGCUUGGGCAUGAACUUGGGUUUGAGCCUGAGAGUAAUGACAACGGGGUCUUCUUGACCGUGCCCGCUGUCCAACUAUAAUAGAAGAUGCAUCUUCCUCAUUCAGUGUCUCCCCAACACUUCCUGAACCCUUUUGAAUUACUUGAGUUACCACUUUGAAUGUUGCAAAACUCACAAUGCAACCAGUCUUAAUUCCCUCUUCUAUCAUCUCCCCCAUUUUAAGGGCCUCAAUAAAUGACUUACCUAAUGCAGGUAACAAGUGUUAAUAAUAUGUUUCAUCCUGUGCUUGAAUAAACACCUCCACUAUUUUUCUUUCUUUCAUUGGUGGUUUUACUCUAGCAGUUUGUUCGCACCAUCUGAUUGCAUACUCUCUGAAACUCUCAGUAUUCUUCUUUUUUAUAAUAGUUAGGUAUUUUUCGUCAGGGAUCAACUCGACAUUGUAUUGAAAUUGUUGCACAAAUCCAUUAGCUAGGCCAUCCCAACUAAUCCACUUGUCAAUGUCUUGGUCAACAAACCAUUCCAAAGCUAGGCCUGAAAGACUCUCCCCAAAAUAAGCCAUGAGUGGUUCUUCCUUUCCUCCAGCGCCCCUUAAUUGGUUACAAUAGCGCUUUAAAUAUGCCACUAGGUCUCCAUGUCCAUCGUAUUUCUUAAACUUUGGUAUUUUAAAGCCAGGAAGAAGGUUAACACCUGGAAACAUGCAUAAGUCCUUAUAUGAGAUACUUUUGUAACCCCUAAGUCUUUGCAAGUUCUUCAUAGUCAGUUCCAAACUUCUUAAUUUUUUGGUCAUUUCCUCUUGUUCUUCUGUCAUAACAGGCUUCUCAGUGUUAGGAGGAAAUUCAGGCAGGCGAGUAUCACCGUAAAGACCAGUCAACUUGAAUGUAGGCUCAGAAGUGUAACGCUGAUCACCUGUAAUAUUUAAUGCAGGCUCUCUUGUAGAGUAGUGAGCCACAACUUAUGGAAGAACAUCAAAAGUAGGAGCUUCAGGUGGAGGUUGCGCCGCAAAAAUAUGAACAACAGGUGGAGCCGAGCAUAUGGUAGUCUUGGAUUGGGGAGUGAGGAAAUGAACAUUGGAAAAGGUUGGAUAUUAUCGCCCCAGAGUCGAUCCUGAUGCAUAUUGUGGCAUAUCAACAAAAAUGGGAAAUUGUGCAUAUGACACGGGAGGAAAGCUAGAAAGAUAUUCCAAAUUAUCAGUGGGAACUGGAGGAGGUGACAACGUAUUAGCCCAAGCUCGAUGCAUUUCUAUCAUUUGCUGCCUUAAUUUCCAAAUCUCUUCAUUAGCUCCUAAAUUCUCAUUUCCCGAACUCCCUGUCUGAUUAGUGACAACAAACUCGGUAUCCUUGUUGGCCAUAAAUUUCUUUAUGACUUGGUGCAAUAUGGAGGCCCAUCCAAAAUGCCAUAAACCAACCACCUUAAACUAACUGGAUAAGAGAUAGUAAAUGCGUUAGAGUUCAACAUUUUUUCAAAACCUUUUUUUUUUCUUGAUAAGAUCACCGAACCCAAGAAGCACGCCUACGUAUCUCGCCCCCAAAAGGGGAGAAUCAAGUGUGCGUAGUUCGUGAAGUCUUGCCAAAAUGGCCAAUUAAAAUCUUUUUCUUUUUCUUUUUUCUUGAAACUUUAAGAAGAAAAGAAAAUAACAAAUUAUCAAAAGAAUUGACGAAAAUCAUUUUUGCAUUUUUCAGAUUUAAAUUUCCUAUACAAAAUGAAACCUAUGACAACCAAAGAAAAAUCAUUUUUUGAAUUUUCGAUUCUAAAUUUCAUAUGAAAAUGAAACUUGAAACUAUUAGAGGAAAAUCUUUUUGUGGUUUUCUUUUCGAAGAUGUAUAUGACACACCUACUCUAAAUGAAGAGUGAAAAAAAAAUCUUUUUAGGAUUUUUUUUUCAUAUUCCUAUACAAAAUAAAACCUAUGAUUACCAAAGAAAAUCUUUUUGAAUUUUCAAUUUCGAAUUUCAUAUGAAAAUGAAAAUUGAAACUAUUAAAGAAAAAUCUUUUUGCAGUUUUCUUUUAAAGAAAUAUAUGACACCUACUCUAAUAAAGAGUGAAGAAAAUCUUUUUUUUUUUUGAAUUUUUCAAAUAGGGUCCCCGAACCAACAAUAGGCUGCCUACGUAUCUCACUCCCGAGAGAGGAGAAUCAGGGGUGCGUAGUUCGUCCAGAUAGGACAAUUAAGAAUUAAAUGACAGAUUGACCCUAACUUAAGAGACACGACCAAAGACAGACAAAUAAAAUCUUUUUAGGGUUUUAAUCAGACACUUCACAUAAAACUUACAUCAACAACUAUGAAAGAAUUUUUUUUUUUUGAUAUUUUCAUUAUAUGAAAUGUACAAAACUUCUACCAUGUUUUUUUUUUUGAAUUUUCCUUUUAUAAAAAGCUCCUAAAAAAUGAUUUUUGGAAUUUUUAAAUUGUGACUGCAUGCUAAAGGAGAUAAAGGAAAAAUCUUUUUGAGGUUUUGUUUUUCAGUAAAUGCGUGAAAAAGUAAGAAAAUCAUUUUGAAUUUUUGGAUUGUGAAAAAAUAAAAGCCAUAAAGAACUCUAAUAAUUACGAAACUAUUUUUUUUCACUCCUUUCUUUUUUUUUUCUAUUUUUUUCAACAUUUCUUGCCUACGCACUUUACUUCUAACACAUGCUUUCCCCAAAUCAGUCCAUCAAAUGACCACGUUACCCUCAAAGAUACAACAUUUAGCACGUAGAGAUGCUUUAGAGAUGAGUCUCCUACAAAAGGCCACGUUGGUUUCGCUAGGUCUCAAUAUGAUGCAGAUAAGCAUGACCUAAAGGUUGACCUACGCUGGGGUCCACUAACAAGGCUGUUCGGGGGAGCGUAUGGUUGAUAGUGGAUUGCUUUAGCUGUCCACCUACUCCAUACAACCCAACGGAUCCCCCUCCUUAAAUAAAGGUGACUCAACUAUAGGUCGUGUACACACGUGUACUACGGACUUGUUGCAGAAAAAAAAAGACUCGAGUUAUGCAUAUGAUGCCAGAUAUAAAGCGGGUAACACAUAAAGUAAAAACUGUAAACAAAAAGUACGUAGGCACUCAACAAUGAUAAACAAUAACACAAAACAACACAAACAAAAUGUCUACACCUAUAUUACCAAACUAAGCCGAUACAACUCCAAAAUAAGCUCAAAUUCUGAAAAAUUCCCAGCAGAGUCGCCAGAGCUGUCACACCCACUUUUUAACACCAAAAAGAAAGAUUGAUUUAAAGUUUGAAAGGGUUUUUAUUUAAAGUGACAAAAUGAAGAUUUGUUCCGAAAAGGACUUUUUAUAUUCAAAUCUCAGAGUCGCCACUUGGCAUAAUCUAGUGUGUCAAGUCACCUUUGGAAAAUUCUUUUCAAAACUAUUUUGACUCUUUAAAACUGGUUUACGAACAGAGAUUCCGGCUAAGGAAUUCUAUUGACCGAAGGGAAGGUGUUAGGCACCCCUCGAUCCCGUGGUUCGACCACGGUCACUUGGUAGAGCGUAUCGGUUAAUUUAACACUAUGAGUGUACAAACCACAUAAAACAAACAAUAAACAAAUCAAACAAAAUGCAUCCAAAAAAAAUAAAUAAAGUCCAGUCCAAUUAUACAAUCCAAAAAUAGAAAAAUGCGUAAAAAUAAAUCCUAUUCUAAACUAAUCCUAGACUAAUGCUCUACCCGAUGCCUCGGGCCUUCAUCACGAAUGUCCUCCGGGUAUAAAAUACUUUGGGGCAUUUCCCAGCGAAUAAACAUAAAUAUUUCGGGGCAUUCCUCGGCCAAAUGAUACUUUGAUAUAAAAAAAACCAUAAAAACAAGCCAUUCAACACACAUUUUUCAACAUUCAACAUUUGAAGAGUUCUAAAUUUGCCUUACCGACCCUACUAUUUACCUAUCUAUUUGACGUCCUAAUCAUGAUACUACCACAUUCAAUAAGGUUAAUAAACAUUUCAAAUCAACUCAAUCAAUGAAACAAAAUUAAUCCGAGUUCACUUGAUCAAGAUCAAUCCCUCCCUAAUUUAUUAUCGAUUACGCAAUUACUCGAUUCUCAAUCAUACAAUUAUUCACCUCAAAUAAUCAAUCGAUAUCAAAAAACACUUAUGAUGAUUCAAAUAGGUCAUGGUCAAACAAAACAAGGCUCACACCUAUCACCAAUUUCAACACAUAAGGUAUCAAACGAUAAAGAUUAAUCAAGAACGGGAUAAGAAAUGGACCUUAAUUUUAUUUCGAACAAUUAGCGAUGGAUCAGAGCACAUGAACCAACGAACCUUGACAUCAAAACCCAAUUAGAAAAUCUCGACUCCAAAUUCUAUUUACCCAGACCCAUUUUCUCUCUGUAUUUUUAUGUGGGUCAUGAGAAGGGGAGCUGGACGAACUGCCAUGCAUUUGUUCGCCGGUGAUUUGAGCUGACUGGAGUGGUGGUUAACGGGAUUUUAUCGGCGAAUUUUGCCGAUGGUGAUGGAGUUUUGGGAUUCCGUGAGGCUUUGGUCGCCGGACUUGCUACCAGUGGAGUUCUCCAGUGACUGUUGUUGCAUCGCCGGAGCUUCGGCGAGCUUAACGGUGGUGACUAAUAUCCCCUUUCUCUAAUCUAUUCUCUUUCUCACAUCCUCUUUGCCUCUCCUCUCUUUGUUGUCAUCUUCUCCCUCUAUAAUCUAUUCUUUCUUUCGCGUCUCUGCAUAUUAAUGUCACUGGUGAGUGUUAUCUGAGAGAUCUGUGUGUGCUCUAUAUGUGAAUAUGGUGAUGGAAAGCCUAUGUGUUGGUAUAUCUUGUGAAGGGGAAUAUUGAUGAUGAUGAUGGAGAAUUGUUCCCUUUCUUUCUGUAUGUAUUUUCUAUGGUGAGAAUAUAAUAAUAAUAAUGAUGUGGGUCCCCCCAUGUGAAUGUUGUCUUGUAUAUCAAUGGAAAUGGUGAGGUCCUCAACAAAGUGGAAUAAAAUACGAGGAGUAUGGUAGUGAGGUGGUAUGGGGUAGUGAUGUGUUGUGAUAAAAUUUGUUAGG